CGUAGGGGGCAAGCGUUGUCCGGAAUCAUUGGGCGUAAAGCGCGUGUAGGCGGCCAGAAAAGUCCGCUGUGAAAACUCGAGGCUCAACUUCGAGCUGUCGGUGGAAACUUUCUGGCUAGAGUCCGGAAGAGGAGAAUGGAAUUCCUGGUGUAGCGGUGAAAUGCGCAGAUAUCAGGAAGAACACCCGUGGCGAAGGCGGUUCUCUGGGACGGUACUGACGCUGAGACGCGAAAGCGUGGGGAGCGAACAGGAUUAGAUACCCUGGUAGUCCACGCCGUAAACGAUGGGUGCUAGGUGUGGGCGGUGUCGACUCCGUCCGUGCCGAAGCUAACGCAUUAAGCACCCCGCCUGGGGAGUACGGUCGCAAGGCUA
RNAcentral lists this ribosomal RNA (372 nucleotides) under uncultured organism. RNAcentral's name for it is "bacterial SSU rRNA". It matches the Rfam family "Bacterial small subunit ribosomal RNA", at positions 526 to 896 of the family's 1533-position model. The record is from RNAcentral.